CAGGAAUUCUCCCUGCAAGAUGAUUUCCAUGAUAUACCAUCAUCCAUGUCACCGGAUUCAGUGAAGCAGGGACAUUUUGAUCCUUCUAUCUUCACCUCCAUUUCAUUAUUGAGCGCUGAAUCAGCUUUCUCCAGUAAUUCAGCAAUAAACUUCUCUUUAAACAAGCACUUCAGUUCAAGGAGAGCUCCCACAACCACCAAAUGCAUUUGGUGGGCAAGAAACAAGGCCUUGAUGAAACUCCUGGCAGCACUGGAGACAGAGACACUGGAGACAGAGAAACAAGGCCUCCACCAUCAACAUGUCAUUAGUAAUUCUUUAUGAGGAUAAAAACAAUUGGUCCAUACCCUCUUGAUGAAACGUGUGUCAACAGACACGUUCUUGAAAAAAAAGGUCCAUUAUUUUCUAUGGCAAAAUGAAAAGGCCGUCGUUAUAUUUUCCUUUAGAUAGAGCUGUUGAUCAAUUCCUGCUGGAGCUGUACAGUGAACUUCAACAUGAAUAGUACGAACAUAUUUAACAUUUGUCGAGUGUUGACUUCAGCCUUAAGUUUUUUAUUGAUGGAGAAGGCUUUCAACUGUGGACUUUAUUUGCGCUAGCAAGAUAGAUUUUCUUUGCCUAUAUCAUGUCGCUUUUUGUCCAGUUCGGUUGUUAAUUAAAUAGUUAAUCUGGUAACUAGAAGUUAUAAAAUCGUCUGUUGUAAUAAGAGUUUUUUAUGAUUUUGGUAUUCUUCAGUAUCAGGAUUUCUAACCACCAGAAUGAAACUUGAGCAAUUCUGAAGACCUGAAUUACUUGGAUGUAAAUUAUAUGCACUGCUGCACCUAUACAUAAGCUUAAGAACAUAUGUAUAAAUUUCUUCUAGAAGUAGGGCUUCCCCAAGCUUCUUGCUUGUGAUAUACCUUUUUGUUGGCUCUGGCCACCUUUUCUAGAAGAAAAUAAAGCUGAAAGUGAUGCCAUAGCUUAAGAGGAUAUACUCGAUUUUAUUUCCUUUUCAUGUCACUAACCCUCAUAAAAAGCUGAAAGUGAUCGCUAUGCUUUUGAGUUCUGUCGCAAGGUGGCUUCGCACUACUUAAAACAACUUUUUGCAAUCUACCAGAACAAGGAGGACCCUUACUUUCAUCCAUAGCCCUGGUAAUGCUUAGUAUCCCGCCAACUGCCUGCUACACUCUUUUGUACAUACAGUACGUGUUGAAUUGCGCUCCUGGAGAAGUAAGGACAUGUUGCAAUCAUACUACCUUUAGUUGCAGCCUCCGCACAUUUGUCUGGAAGCAAUUGUCUUGGAUGUGCUGCUGGGUCUGAUCUUCGGAAGUGGGCUGCUGCCGAGAAACAUUCGAUUUGAUGGUCUUCAGAUUACAAAGGAUAUGAAGCAGCCGAUUUUUGUGUAUUAUCAGCGGGAUGACUUUUACCAGAAUUAUAGGAGGUAUGUCAAGAGCCGAAAUGAUGCACAGCUAGGAGAUAAAAGUAAGGCGAAUGACUUUACCAAUUGUGAUCCUGAGGCCAAAAUGUUGAGAAGAAGGACAUCUCUUGUAAGAGUGACAGAGACCACAAAUUCGGGAGUGAUGUCUUCCCAACGAACUUUCAGAUAGGACCUCUUAAAGGUGGAAAAACACUUGAUCCAAGUAUCCCGUUGAGUAAGAAAGAGGACCUCAUUGUUUGGAUGCGGACUACAGCACUUCCGACAUUCAGAAAGCUGUAUGGAAGGAUAUAUGUUGAUCUCAAGGAAAACGAUACAAUCACAGUCUAGUUGGACAACAACUACAACACCUAUAGCUUUGGUGGCAAGAAGAAGCUGGUGCUUUCUACCGCAACCUGGCUCGGGGGAAAGAACGAUUUUCUGGGCCUUGCGUACCUCAUCGUCGGUGGACUCUGCUUCUUCCUGGCAUUCGCGUUCACCUUGCUAUACUUGAUAAAGCCAAGGAAAAUGGGAGAUAACCGCUACCUGUUAUGGAACAGACCCCCUUCAGGUCGCUGAUGAUGUGCUUUGGAAUUAAACGCGAUGCACAGGCAGCAACAAACAUAUUCAGAUUAUGGUCGGAAUGUAUCUUGUACCACAGAGAAAUUUUAUUCGUGCUCGUCGGUGUAGAAUAUAUACGGCACCCUUGCACAUAUUGUACAUUACAUCGAAACACAUAGCUUUGUUUUCUACAAAAUUGUAUACUCAAAAGUCUCAGAAGUGGAUGCCAGUAGUUCCAUGCUUUGUUUUUUCCCCUUCAUAAAACAGCUAAAUCUAACCUGCAUGACUGAGCUAUGAGAUGAACAUGAGCUCUUCGUAAGUGAUCAGUUCUCGAAGGCUAGGCAUUUGCAGAAAUUUGGACUUUUGGAUUCCAAACAAUGCGCUUCGUGUUUUUGCCAUUCCUAACAUAGACUUCAAAGAAAUAUGACUUUUUUUGCUCUUCUCCUGACGUCGUUUGCUUUCCUUCCCCUGACAUGCAUGUGUUGCAAUUGCAUCUAGUGUCUCAACAGAGCAACACGAAGAAUGUUUUGGAAUGAUGCUUGUGUUAUCAGCCCGGAAAGGGGCACGCUGGCAUCUUCAUAUUAUUUUUUUUUCCUUGUUCAGCAAGGGUUGAUGGACGCUUUGUUACUGUUACUGUUCCGCGCGCAGAAAAAAAAAUUCAACUGUGGCUUCCUGAAAAAGUA
RNA transcript from Zea mays, 2631 nucleotides. It is a transcript of the gene named CDC50 superfamily protein pseudogene, with no coding region annotated. The transcript has 6 exons. Lineage: Eukaryota; Viridiplantae; Streptophyta; Magnoliopsida; Poales; Poaceae. The record is from RefSeq and is marked validated.